Molecule: ribosomal RNA, 253 nt
Filed under: uncultured bacterium
Lineage: Bacteria
Description: partial 16S ribosomal RNA
Rfam family: Bacterial small subunit ribosomal RNA
Source: RNAcentral
UACGAGGGGAGCUAGCGUUGUUCGGAAUUACUGGGCGUAAAGCGCGCGUAGGCGGUUUCUUAAGUCAGAGGUGAAAGCCUGGAGCUCAACUCCAGAACUGCCUUUGAAACUGGGCAACUUGAAUCUUGGAGAGGUCAGUGGAAUUCCGAGUGUAGAGGUGAAAUUCGUAGAUAUUCGGAAGAACACCAGUGGCGAAGGCGACUGACUGGACAAGUAUUGACGCUGAGGUGCGAAAGCGUGGGGAGCAAACAGG